Molecule: ribosomal RNA, 254 nt
Filed under: uncultured bacterium
Lineage: Bacteria
Description: partial 16S ribosomal RNA
Rfam family: Bacterial small subunit ribosomal RNA
Source: RNAcentral
GACGAACCGUGCGAACGUUAAUCGGAUUCAUUGGGCUUAAAGGGCGCGUAGGCGGCGUCGUAAGUUCGUGGUGAAAUCCCAUCGGCUCAACCGUGGAAUCGCUUCGAAUACUGCGUCGCUCGAGGGAGAUAGGGGACCGCAGAACUGCCGGUGGAGCGGUGAAAUGUGUUGAUAUCGGCGGGAAUGCCAGUGCCGAAAGGGGCGGUCUGGACCUCUUCUGACGCUGAGGCGCGAAAGCUAGGGGAGCGAACGGG